GUGCGUGCGGGGUGCGGGCUUGCGGCUUGCGGGCUUACGACUUGCAGGCUUGCGGCUUGCGGGUCCGGCGGGUCACACGGCGCCGAGCGCACU
Molecule: transfer RNA, 93 nt
Filed under: Streptomyces spiralis
Lineage: Bacteria; Bacillati; Actinomycetota; Actinomycetes; Kitasatosporales; Streptomycetaceae
Description: tRNA-Val
Source: RNAcentral